GACGAACGCUGGCGGCGUGCUUAACACAUGCAAGUCGAACGGAAAGGCCCUGCUUUUGUUGGGUGCUCGAGUGGCGAACGGGUGAGUAACACGUGAGUAACCUGCCCUGGAGUUUGGGAUAACUUCAGGAAACUGUGGCUAAUACCGGAUAGGAGCUCCUGCUGCAUGGUGGUGGUUGGAAAGUUUCGGCGGUCGGGGAUGGACUCGCGGCUUAUCAGCUUGUUGGUGGGGUAGUGGCUUACCAAGGCUUUGACGGGUAGCCGGCCUGAGAGGGUGACCGGCCACAUUGGGACUGAGAUGCGGCCCAGACUCCUACGGGAGGAAGCAGUGGGGAAUAUUGCAAAAUGGGCGGAAGCCUGAUGCAGCAACGCCGCGUGCGGGAUGACGGCCUUCGGGUUGUAACCCGCUUUCGCCUGUGACGAAGCGUGAGUGACGGUAAUGGGUAAAGAAGCACCGGCUAACUACGUG
Molecule: ribosomal RNA, 468 nt
Filed under: uncultured bacterium
Lineage: Bacteria
Description: partial 16S ribosomal RNA
Rfam family: Bacterial small subunit ribosomal RNA
Source: RNAcentral